AAAUGAAUUGACGGGGGCCCGCACAAGCAGAGGAGCAUGUGGCUUAAUUCGAUGCAACGCGAAGAACCUUACCCGGGUUUGACAUGCAGCUGCUCGCCCCGUGAAAGCGGGGCUCCUUCGAGGGUGCUGCACAGGUGCUGCAUGGCUGUCGUCAGUUCGUGCCGUGAGGUGUUUGGUUAAGUCCAGCAACGAACGCAACCCCUGUGUCCAGUUGCCAUCGGGUGAAGCCGGGGACUCUGGACAGACCGCCCGUUCACGCGGGAGGAAGGUGGGGACGACGUCAAGUCAGUAUGGCCCUUACGCCCGGGGCUGCACACGUGCUACAAUGGCCGGCACAAAGGGAAGCGAUGCCGCGAGGCGGAGCCAACCCCCAAAACCGGCCCCAGUUCGGAUCGGGGUCUGCAACCCGACCCCGUGAAGCCGGAUUUGCUAGUAACGGCGCAUCAGCUACGGCGCCGUGAAUACGUUCCCGGGCCUUGUACACACCGCCCGU
This 493-nucleotide ribosomal RNA is filed under the name uncultured bacterium. RNAcentral's name for it is "bacterial SSU rRNA". It matches the Rfam family "Bacterial small subunit ribosomal RNA", at positions 903 to 1397 of the family's 1533-position model. The record is from RNAcentral.